UAGCAAGGUUAACCGUAUAGGGGAGCCGUAGGGAAACCGAGUCUUAACCGGGCGUUAAGUUGCAGGGUAUAGACCCGAAACCCGGUGAUCUAGCCAUGGGCAGGUUGAAGGUUGGGUAACACUAACUGGAGGACCGAACCGACUAAUGUUGAAAAAUUAGCGGAUGACCUGUGGCUGGGGGUGAAAGGCCAAUCAAACCGGGAGAUAGCUGGUUCUCCCCGAAAGCUAUUUAGGUAGCGCCUCGUGAAUUCAUCUCCGGGGGUAGAGCACUGUUUCGGCUAGGGGGCCAUCCCGGCUUACCAACCCGAUGCAAACUGCGAAUACCGGAGAAUGUUAUCACGGGAGACACACGGCGGGUGCUAACGUCCGUCGUGAAGAGGGAAACAACCCAGACCGCCAGCUAAGGUCCCAAAGUCAUGGUUAAGUGGGAAACGAUGUGGGAAGGCCCAGACAGCCAGGAUGUUGGCUUAGAAGCAGCCAUCAUUUAAAGAAAGCGUAAUAGCUCACUGGUCGAGUCGGCCUGCGCGGAAGAUGUAACGGGGCUAAACCAU
Molecule: ribosomal RNA, 551 nt
Filed under: Salmonella enterica
Lineage: Bacteria; Pseudomonadati; Pseudomonadota; Gammaproteobacteria; Enterobacterales; Enterobacteriaceae
Also listed under: 1 other name
Description: partial 23S ribosomal RNA
Rfam family: Bacterial large subunit ribosomal RNA
Source: RNAcentral